Fusarium poae is the source of this 120-nucleotide non-coding RNA. The record is from Rfam. Lineage: Eukaryota; Fungi; Ascomycota; Sordariomycetes; Hypocreales; Nectriaceae.
ACAUACGACCAUACCUACCAGAAAAUACGGGAUCCCGUCCGCUCUCCCAUAGUCAAGCUGGUAAGGGGCGGAUUAGUAGUUGGGUCGGUGACGACCAGCGAAUCCCCGCUGUUGCAUGUA